Molecule: microRNA precursor, 75 nt
Filed under: Bovine herpesvirus type 1.2 strain B589
Lineage: Duplodnaviria; Heunggongvirae; Peploviricota; Herviviricetes; Herpesvirales; Orthoherpesviridae
Also listed under: 2 other names
Description: miRNA Bhv1-mir-B4
Source: RNAcentral
GCGCGGCCGCGUGAUGUAGAGGGUGACGCGAACGGCAGCGCCGGGACUCGCGUCUUCCGGCGGCACCAGCCGCGC